This is a long non-coding RNA of Oncorhynchus keta (chum salmon), 287 nucleotides long. RefSeq lists it as uncharacterized. NCBI's taxonomy places the organism in Eukaryota, Metazoa, Chordata, Actinopteri, Salmoniformes, Salmonidae. The transcript is spliced from 3 exons. The record is from RefSeq and is a predicted model, not a curated record.
GGAGCAUUCUCUCUAGACAACAGUUCACUGUCAGGUUCUGGAGCAUUCUCUCUAGACAACAGUUCACUGACAGGUUCUGGAGCAUUCUCUCUAGACAACAGUUCACUGUCAGGUUCUGGAGCAUUCUCUAUAGACAACAGUUCACUGUCAGGUUCUGGAACAUUCUCUCUAGACAACAGUUCACUGUCAGGUUCUGGAGCAUUCUCUCUAGACAACAGUUCACUGUCAGGUUCUGGAGCAUUCUCUAUAAACAACAGUUCACUGUCAGGUUCUGGAGCAUUCUCUCU